Molecule: small nucleolar RNA, 88 nt
Organism: Dunckerocampus dactyliophorus (ringed pipefish)
Lineage: Eukaryota; Metazoa; Chordata; Actinopteri; Syngnathiformes; Syngnathidae
Product: small nucleolar RNA SNORD60
Exons: 1
Source: RefSeq, a predicted model, not a curated record
AGCCGUUGAUGACAAAUUUGAAAAUACAUUUGACACCUUCUAUGACAGCUGAACUACAGCUUGUGAUUCAAACUUUAAUCUGAGGCUU